UCCAGACUCCUACGGGAGGCAGCAGUGAGGAAUAUUGGUCAAUGGCCGGGAGGCUGAACCAGCCAAGUCGCGUGAGGGAAGACUGCCCUAUGGGUUGUAAACCUCUUUUGCCAGGGAGCAACGCCGGCUACGUGUAGCCGGACUGAGAGUACCUGAAGAAAAAGCAUCGGCUAACUCCGUGCCAGCAGCCGCGGUAAUACGUAGGUGGCAAGCGUUAUCCGGAUUUAUUGGGUGUAAAGGGCGUGUAGGCGGGAAAGCAAGUCAGAUGUGAAAACUAUGGGCUCAACCCAUAGCCUGCAUUUGAAACUGUUUUUCUUGAGUGCUGGAGAGGCAAUCGGAAUUCCGUGUGUAGCGGUGAAAUGCGUAGAUAUACGGAGGAACACCAGUGGCGAAGGCGGAUUGCUGGACAGUAACUGACGCUGAGGCGCGAAAGCGUGGGGAGCAAACAGGAUUAGAUACCCGGGUACUU
Molecule: ribosomal RNA, 469 nt
Filed under: uncultured bacterium
Lineage: Bacteria
Description: partial 16S ribosomal RNA
Rfam family: Bacterial small subunit ribosomal RNA
Source: RNAcentral